GUCCACGCCGUAAACGUUGGGCACUAGGUGUGGGUUCCAACCAACGGAAUCCGCGCCGUCGCAAACGCAUUAAGUGCCCCGCCUGGGGAGUACGAUCGCAAGAUUAAAACUCAAAGGAAUUGACGGGGGCCCGCACAAGCAGCGGAGCGUGUUGCUUAAUUCGAUGCAACGCGAAGAACCUUACCUGGGCUUGACAUGUACGGAAAAGCCGUAGAGAUACGGUGUCCUUCGGGGCCGUACACAGGUGGUGCAUGGCUGUCGU
Molecule: ribosomal RNA, 262 nt
Filed under: uncultured bacterium
Lineage: Bacteria
Description: partial 16S ribosomal RNA
Rfam family: Bacterial small subunit ribosomal RNA
Source: RNAcentral